This 798-nucleotide unclassified non-coding RNA is filed under the name Hevea brasiliensis (rubber tree). Lineage: Eukaryota; Viridiplantae; Streptophyta; Magnoliopsida; Malpighiales; Euphorbiaceae. The record is from RNAcentral.
AUGUCAGCAGUUGCAGGGUCAUAUGGGUAUAUUGCUCCUGAGUAUGCAUACACAAUGAAAGUAACAGAAAAAUGUGAUAUCUAUAGCUAUGGAGUUGUUCUGUUGGAGUUGUUGACUGGGAAAAUUCCUGUGCAGCCACUAGAUCAAGGAGGUGAUCUUGUGACAUGGGUGAGAAAUUAUGUCCGCAGCCAUUCAUUGUCAUCUGGGAUACUUGACAGUAGAUUAGACCUCAAAGAUCAAAGUACUGUUGAUCACAUGAUUUGUGUACUGAAAAUUGCUUUGAUGUGUACAAGCAUGUCACCAUUUGAUCGUCCGUCAAUGCGUGAAGUUGUAUUGAUGCUUAUCGAGUCUAAUGCGCGAGAAGGGAACUUCAUUCUGUCUACAAUUUAUGAUCUUCCACUGAAAGAUGAUGCUUCAUGAAAGUAAGCUAUCAUCUCCCAGUUUCUGUUAAAGGACAGCAAAUGAUGGUACCUUGUACAUUUUUUAUAAGCAAAUAGAAUCACUGGAUAUUUCUGUUGCUCAUAGGGGCUUAAUAUCAUUGUUGCUCUCACAUUCUGUAUUUCAUCUUGCAAUUGCUACAGUAUAGUAACACUUGUGUACAGAUGGACGUACCAUUAUAUCUACAUGGAUCUCAAAGAUCCAGAUGUUACCAUUACUCAACAGAUGCUAGUUGAUGUGCUGUUUUCAGUUAGCCAGAGACUUAUAAAUCUGGAUAAUAGGUACUCUUUAUUUGCAAUUUUAAUAGAUGAAGUUAAAAUGAUCUUUCUAUUAGAUUUAUAUGUUAUACUACUGAAUGAA